This 415-nucleotide ribosomal RNA is filed under the name uncultured bacterium. RNAcentral describes it as "bacterial SSU rRNA". It matches the Rfam family "Bacterial small subunit ribosomal RNA", at positions 355 to 794 of the family's 1533-position model. The record is from RNAcentral.
UGGGGAAUUUUGCGCAAUGGGCGAAAGCCUGACGCAGCGACGCCGCGUGAGUGACGAAGGCCUUCGGGUUGUAAAGCUCUGUUGAGGGGGAAGCGGUACCCCUUAAGAAAGCCCCGGCUAACUACGUGCCAGCAGCCGCGGUAAGACGUAGGGGGCGAGCGUUGUCCGGAAUUACUGGGUGUAAAGGGCGUGUAGGCGGCUAAGUAAGUCAGCUGUGAAAUUCCCCGGCUCAACUGGGGGCCUGCAGUUGAAACUACUUAGCUUGAGUGCAGGAGAGGAAGGUGGAAUUCCCAGUGUAGCGGUGAAAUGCGUAGAUAUUGGGAGGAACACCGGUGGCGAAGGCGGCCUUCUGGCCUGUAACUGACGCUGAGGCGCGAAAGCUAGGGGAGCAAACAGGAUUAGAUACCCCUGUAGU